Long non-coding RNA from Perognathus longimembris pacificus (Pacific pocket mouse), 317 nucleotides. RefSeq lists it as uncharacterized. Lineage: Eukaryota; Metazoa; Chordata; Mammalia; Rodentia; Heteromyidae. The record is from RefSeq and is a predicted model, not a curated record. The transcript has 3 exons.
GCUCAGGCCCUGAGUUCAAGCCCCAGGACUGGCAAAAAGAAAAAAAAAAAAUAAAAACAAAACAAAACACAACUAUUUGGUAAUAUUAGCCUGAGGCCAUCUGCCUGUAUUGCUAAUUUUGUAUGAUCUACAAAUGAUGUUAUAAAUAUCCAAAUGGCCUUUGGUGGAGAAUAGGUUCCCCACCCCGCUAGACUAAAAAGCAAGGGAAACAUUUUACUUUCAUAACAAGUAAAUAUUAGAAGAAAAGGUAGAAGCAGAUGAGCCCGUGGCUCUUGUCUAAAUCCUGCCUACUCAAAUGGCAGACAUCUGAGGAUCGC